GCAAUUGGCUGGGGCUACAGGUGUUGUGAGUCUGGCUGAUCUCAUGAGGUAUAGCGAGUUCUGCAAUGACAGAGUUACUUGGCAAGACGAUGUCAUGGCUGGUUUCAUUUCGCAGCAAAACUGGCACCUUGUACGGGGAACGUGCCGGAAUAGAGAUCAAGCAGCUGUCAAUAAAGAUUCCCCCUGGCAAGGACGAGAUAGAGGGCUCUUCAAGUACUGCCCAUCUCUCGUUGUUCGCUUCACUUCCAAAAACAAGGCCUUCCAAGACAACCUUCCGUCCAGCAGGGACGAUACCUGGUUCAUGACGACUUAACUUCACAACACCAAUCUGACCCUCUGAGUUUUGUUUUCGUCUGAGCUGCAGGGUUUUCAGGACUUGUUGGUAGCCACAGUAUGUGUUGCUUACCAGAGGACUUUCAUCACAGAACUGUUCAUAGAGGGGGUCUAGAGUAUUCGUACCAAUUAGCACAGGCACGCUACUGUUGGAGCGAGUGUCUGGUACUAUCAGGGCAAGAGUCUGUACUUCAGGUUGUGAAGCCAUAAAUUCUUUAGGGAACUGCAUACUUAACUGUAUGUAGCCUAGGUAGGGGACUGCCUGGCCGUUUGCACCUUCAACGUCCAGUAUGUCACUCACUGGGCGUAUCGGGUGAUCAGAGAGGUGUGAAUCAUAGUAAGACUGAGACACAGUCGUAACUUGUGACCCAGUGUCAAGCAGUGAGUUACAUUCAAUUCCAUUCACUUUCACAUGUGCUGUGCUCUUUUUUCCUACUAGGCCUCUAGGCAGUUCUCCUGUUCUUACAGCUCUGUGUUCGUUAAGUGUCACUUUUUCCUUGACUUUCUGUGUCGUGGUGGGACUGUUUGUCAACUCUGUUCCUAUUUGUCCCUCAAUAGAAACAGUUACUUGUUUAAAGAACUUUCAACAACAGGGUUUGCUUUUUCCCACGCUGUCUGUCUUUCUUUCAGCUCUUUUCUCUUUGCGUUAACUAGUGCAGGGUUUGGUGUAUCAGUGCAGCUGGUUGCUAUAUGCCCAUCCUCACCACAUUGGAAACAAUACCACGGUCUGGGCUUUUUCGGCGUGGUGUCUGGUUUUUGUGCUUGUGCUUCAGCACUGGCUUCAGCACUGGCUUGUUCUUUUGGUGUAGGUUUCAGCUUUUUCUUUCCAGCUUGGGGUUUAUUUGGCGGUUUGUCUUUGGGGUAGGAAAGCGCUGCAAUCUGAGCUUGGAGGUCAGCUAUCUGCUUUUGAAGCUGAUUCAUCGCUGAUGGAGGAGUUUCAGAUGGACAUGGUAAGUCAUACUCGUUGUUAGGUUCAUACAGGUUCUGUGCUUGAGCUUGAACUUGGACUUUGGUCUUUGUGAAACCGAGAUGCUGUUUCAUUCUGUUCGCUUUGGCUGUUUGUUUAUCUUCUUCCAUGCGCAGGAGCAACAGCAGCUCUGUAAAGGUGGGGGGCUGCUCCUUUCGCUUUUCAAGCUGAAGUGUGCUGAUCAAAGUAUUAUUCCAACAGCCUCUGCAGAAUUGUUUCAGAAGCUGUCUGUCUGAAUCAGUUGGUGAUAUGGCUUUCACCUUCACAAUCUUGUUCAGAGCGGUCUGAAGACGAUGAAGAUAACCGGAUGGCUUCUCACCGGAGUUCUGGUUGAUGUUAAGAAACUCUGCAAACAGAUCGUCUCCAUCUUUCACUAUGCCAUAAGCAGAAUCGAGCAGGUCAAGAUAAGCUCUUGGGGGACAAUAAGGACCUAAUGACUUCACUACUGUAGCAGCUGGGGUUAAAAGACUGUCAACAAUCUUCCUCACAAGUUGUCCUUUAGGGACAGACGGAUCAGCUAUGUAAAACUCCACAUUGUUUCGCCAUGUGUCGUAAUCAACCUCAGUGCUUGGACAUGGAACUCUGCCCGAAAAAGUCCUCAGCUUCACUGAGUGUAGGUCUGAACGAAGGUCGGAGCUCUUCACUACAUGCUCAACAAUGAACCGUUGCAUCUCAGGCGGGUUCAGGUGAUCAGGCGCUGGCUUCAGUUGCGGAAGUGAGUCAGGUCGGCUUAUGUCAGGGGUAAUAGUUCUAGUGGGCUCUAGAGUGUGUGCAUUUUCGGGUUCAGUACAAGAGGGAGUCUGUGCUGUUGGUUUAUCACCUAAGUCAAUUAGCUCUGUAUCUUUAACGUUUUCAGCUGCUGGCUUUGUCUGGCCAACAAGGUUAGAGAUUCUGGCUAACUCAUCUUGUAAGAGUGUUUCAAACGAUUUCCCACUAAGUUUGGCAAUGUCCUUAAGCUGAGUUAGGAAUGACUCUGUUAAACCUGUACCUUUCUCUGAUGAGUACACAUUUGCAAGAGCAUCAACAUGGUGAACAAUGUCAGUGUUACCGUCACAAACUCUGUCAAAAGGCAAAGAACCUUGGAGUGUUUCAACAGCUAAUCCAGAUUCAAAUUCAAGAACGACUUGGUCGCUAGCAUCAGGCACUUUGAUUAUUCUGGAAAAUUUACCAUAUUGCUUCAAAUAUUCAAAAACCUCAUUGUCAACCUCAGUUUCUGUUAAACCCCUUAUAAGAAGAGAGUUAGGCACUUUCACACUAGCUAGUGUAACAAUUUCCAUUGUGAUCAAAACAAAACACAACACUUAAAGGCAAUAGUCAAAAAGAGAAAAAAUACAAAAAAUUGUGGCGAUUGCACUUAAAAUAAACACUCCUGGCUGGCUCGCCAAGUUUUACCGUGUAACCCACUACUGAGUAUGUACACGUCACUGUUGGACCAGUUUCUAAUAACUAGAAAACAAGAGACACUAAGCUCUGCAAGACAAGUGCAAUUAAAAGACACCACACAAGGAUAUAAGGUUUUUCUUCUUUUAGUAAUGAAUUGAAAAGUUAGAACUGUUUGCAAAUGAAAAUUAGACCUUUUUAAAUAAAAUAAAAAGUAAAUUGUCCUUCAAAAAGAUUGAGGAAAUAGUCCUUAAUCCAAAAGUGGAAAAAUAAAGAGUUCCUUUAAGUUGUUGUUCAAAAAGAAAAAAAUAGUUCCUUUCAAGUAGUUCCUUUCAAAUAGUUCCUUUCAAGUAGUUCAGUUAGUUCAGUUCAGAACAGUUCAAUCCUUGGUUCAGUUGUAAAGUGUCAAUUCAAGUAGUCAAUAAGUCAAGUCAGUCAUAGUCAGUAUGAUGUGACUCUAGUAGGCCACAAUCCUACCAGAUAUGCCAUGUGCAAUGACAUAGAACAGGAUCACACUCAAUGGUUGGGUUGGCUCGCCAUCAGAUGUAGUCGACGAAUCCUCAGCGAAAUCCAGAUCCAGCUCAAAAACUUGACCUGUGUAACCAUACCCUAAGUUAAGCUACACAUUCAGGCAACUUUCAGUUUCAGUUUUCUAUCACAUAUCAAACAGUUUCAAUUUCAAGUAGUUGUACAACAUUUAAAUCAAUAUUCUCAAAAGAAAAGCUAUGCAAACUGCAUACACUUUGUUCAUACUGAAAAGCAUUGCAUACCAUUCAGUUAAAUUACCAUUAUCAAGUAAACAGGAUGAAUACUAUGAAAUAUACUGAAAUCGCGGUAACCUUGCACAAACAUUACCGAGUACAGCGGCUAUCAUGAAAACACGUUCAGCUCUCUCACCUCUCACGCGCUGAGUGCGAGAUCACUGCAUGUGCAAUACGUUCAGCUCAUACCGAGCUUAAAGCUACUUAUUUCAACCAAAAUACACUUUCAGAAUCAUUACAACACGUAUUAACAAACAAAAUACAAUUCUUAGGUUUCACUGAAGUAUUUAGCAGUGAUAAACAUCAUAAGACUUAGGUUUCAGCAGUUCAGCAGAAAGAUAGAAAAGUUCUCUUACCGAGACGAUUCAAACAAAAAGAAAAACAUUCGAUGAAACAAAGCUUCUGGUCUUCAAAACAUACAGCAACAUACAGCGCUGGUCACUCAAUACUCCAAAAAGUAAACUUAUAGUUCAAAACAACUUAGAAUUACUUUCUUUCAAUAGUUUCUAUCUCCGAGGAAAAUGGAUGCUUCUGCUCUCUGGCUCCC
Molecule: long non-coding RNA, 3988 nt
Filed under: Xyrichtys novacula (pearly razorfish)
Lineage: Eukaryota; Metazoa; Chordata; Actinopteri; Labriformes; Labridae
Source: RNAcentral